AUUGAACGCUGGCGGCAGGCCUAACACAUGCAAGUCGAGCGGAUGAAGGGAGCUUGCUCCUGGAUUCAGCGGCGGACGGGUGAGUAAUGCCUAGGAAUCUGCCUGGUAGUGGGGGAUAACGUCCGGAAACGGGCGCUAAUACCGCAUACGUCCUGAGGGAGAAAGUGGGGGAUCUUCGGACCUCACGCUAUCAGAUGAGCCUAGGUCGGGUUAGCUAGUUGGUGGGGUAAAGGCCUACCAAGGCGACGAUCCGUAACUGGUCUGAGAGGAUGAUCAGUCAAAAUGGAAAUGAGAAACGGUCCCGAACCCCAAGGGAGGGCGGAGGGGGGAAAAUUGGACAAUGGGCCGAAGCCUGAACCCGGCCAGGCGGGUGGGGUGAGAAAGUCUUCGGAUUGUAAAGCACUUUAAGUUGGGAGGAAGGGCAGUAAGUUAAUACCUUGCUGUUUUGACGUUACCAACAGAAUAAGCACCGGCUAACUUCGUG
Molecule: ribosomal RNA, 484 nt
Filed under: uncultured bacterium
Lineage: Bacteria
Description: partial 16S ribosomal RNA
Rfam family: Bacterial small subunit ribosomal RNA
Source: RNAcentral